ACAGCAGCAGCCACGGGAAUACGGAGGGUGCAAGCGUUAAUCGGAAUUACUGGGCGUAAAGCGCACGCAGGCGGUUUGUUAAGUCAGAUGUGAAAUCCCCGAGCUUAACUUGGGAACUGCAUUUGAAACUGGCAAGCUAGAGUCUUGUAGAGGGGGGUAGAAUUCCAGGUGUAGCGGUGAAAUGCGUAGAGAUCUGGAGGAAUACCGGUGGCGAAGGCGGCCCCCUGGACAAAGACUGACGCUCAGGUGCGAAAGCGUGGGGAGCAAACAGGAUUAGAUACCCGAGUAGUCCCUGUCUCUUAUAA
RNAcentral lists this ribosomal RNA (305 nucleotides) under uncultured bacterium. RNAcentral's name for it is "partial 16S ribosomal RNA". It matches the Rfam family "Bacterial small subunit ribosomal RNA", at positions 506 to 809 of the family's 1533-position model. The record is from RNAcentral.